This 83-nucleotide transfer RNA is filed under the name Francisella tularensis subsp. holarctica. RNAcentral's name for it is "tRNA-Gln". The record is from RNAcentral. Lineage: Bacteria; Pseudomonadati; Pseudomonadota; Gammaproteobacteria; Thiotrichales; Francisellaceae.
GCGGUCGUGGCGUUUUUGGGUGACGCACUGGAUGUUGGUUCCAGCGGGCAACCGUGGGAGUUCGUGUCUCCCCGUUCGCACCA